Molecule: ribosomal RNA, 329 nt
Filed under: uncultured bacterium
Lineage: Bacteria
Description: bacterial SSU rRNA
Rfam family: Bacterial small subunit ribosomal RNA
Source: RNAcentral
CGUAGGCGGGACUGCAAGUCAGAUGUGAAAUCUGGGGGCUUAACCCUCAAACUGCAUUUGAAACUGUAGUUCUUGAGUAUCGGAGAGGCAGGCGGAAUUCCAAGUGUAGCGGUGAAAUGCGUAGAUAUUUGGAGGAACACCAGUGGCGAAGGCGGCCUGCUGGACGACAACUGACGCUGAGGCGCGAAAGCGUGGGGAGCAAACAGGAUUAGAUACCCUGGUAGUCCACGCUGUAAACGAUGAAUACUAGGUGUGGGGGGACUAACCCCCUCCGUGCCGCAGUUAACACAAUAAGUAUUCCACCUGGGGAGUACGGCCGCAAGGUUGAA